This 253-nucleotide ribosomal RNA is filed under the name uncultured bacterium. Its description in RNAcentral is "partial 16S ribosomal RNA". It matches the Rfam family "Bacterial small subunit ribosomal RNA", at positions 524 to 776 of the family's 1533-position model. The record is from RNAcentral.
UACGUAGGGGGCGAGCGUUGUCCGGAUUCAUUGGGCGUAAAGAGCUCGUAGGCGGCUGCUCAAGUCGGAUGUGAAAACUCGGGGCUCAACUCCGAGCCUGCAUUCGAUACUGGGCGGCUUGAGUCUGGUAGGGGGAUCUGGAAUUCCUGGUGUAGCGGUGGAAUGCGUAGAGAUCUCUAAGAACACCAGUUGCGAAGGCGGCUGGCUGGGUCCACAUUGACGCUGAGGCUCGAAAGCGUGGGGAGCAAACAGG